UACAGAGGGUGCGAGCGUUGUCCGGAAUUACUGGGCGUAAAGGGCGCGUAGGCGGCUUGGUAAGUCGGGGGUGAAAGUCAGCGGCUCAACCGCUGGACUGCCUUCGAGACUGCCUGGCUUGAGCAUGGUAGAGGCUGGCGGAAUUCCCGGUGUAGCGGUGGAAUGCGUAGAGAUCGGGAAGAACAUCGGUGGCGAAGGCGGCCAGCUGGGCCAUUGCUGACGCUGAGGCGCGAAAGCUAGGGGAGCAAACGGG
RNAcentral lists this ribosomal RNA (253 nucleotides) under uncultured bacterium. RNAcentral describes it as "partial 16S ribosomal RNA". It matches the Rfam family "Bacterial small subunit ribosomal RNA", at positions 524 to 776 of the family's 1533-position model. The record is from RNAcentral.